UCCAGACUCCUACGGGAGGCAGCAGUGGGGAAUAUUGCACAAUGGGGGAAACCCUGAUGCAGCGACGCCGCGUGAGUGAAGAAGUAUUUCGGUAUGUAAAGCUCUAUCAGCAGGGAAGAAAAUGACGGUACCUGAUUAAGAAGCCCCGGCUAACUACGUGCCAGCAGCCGCGGUAAUACGUAGGGGGCAAGCGUUAUCCGGAUUUACUGGGUGUAAAGGGAGCGUAGACGGCAGCGCAAGUCUGGAGUGAAAUGCCGGGGCCCAACCCCGGAACUGCUCUGGAAACUGUGAAGCUGGAGUGCAGGAGAGGUAAGCGGAAUUCCUGGUGUAGCGGUGAAAUGCGUAGAUAUCAGGAGGAACACCGGCGGCGAAGGCGGCUUACUGGACUGUAACUGACGCUGAGGCUCGAAAGCGUGGGGAGCAAACAGGAUUAGAUACCCCUGUACCU
RNAcentral lists this ribosomal RNA (448 nucleotides) under uncultured bacterium. RNAcentral describes it as "bacterial SSU rRNA". It matches the Rfam family "Bacterial small subunit ribosomal RNA", at positions 330 to 795 of the family's 1533-position model. The record is from RNAcentral.